Long non-coding RNA from Culex pipiens pallens (northern house mosquito), 2112 nucleotides. RefSeq lists it as uncharacterized. The record is from RefSeq and is a predicted model, not a curated record. NCBI's taxonomy places the organism in Eukaryota, Metazoa, Arthropoda, Insecta, Diptera, Culicidae. The transcript is spliced from 3 exons.
UACGACGCUCCUGAAACGAACGCACCAUGGUUGAGCUGUCAUUUUUUCUCCCGCGCGCGUGUUCAAUCCUGUUGGUAUCGUUUGUGUUUGGCCGUGGUGUUGGACGAGAUUAAAAAAAAAAUCGCGAGUGAAUGUGAAAAAGUCACCUCCGGCGUCAAAUCCGCCGGGUUAUCGAUCCGGAACAGCUCUGGGAAGGCGGAAACUUUACAGAUUUUGGGACUUCUUUUACCAUUCGAUUCCGGGACCAAACUCAACAGAGGCUCUCGAAUCGAAAGCAGGUUCGGCCGACGUCGAGGCGUGGCCUCCAGGACAAAAGACAGCUGGCAAGGUGCUAAACGCGUUCCCAGUUGGUUGGACCGUUCUGCCGAGUGACGGAUCCGGAAUGUUGACGGGAGUUCUAAUUUUUCUGCAACUUGGGAACUAUUUCGAUCGUGGAUUGCGUAUGGUCCACGUGCUGCCGGGGGUUCUAGUCCGGCCACAAUUUACAAGAAGGAGGAACACCACCGCACUCGGGUCAGCUGAUGACCAAGGGUACACACUCCCAGCUCAGUUUGAUGGCAGGUGCUAAGGUGAUUCUAUAUUGGCCCGACGGCAGUCCGAUUUGUCGUGGUUGGAUACAGAAAGUGCGCGAAAAGGUGUAAUGGAGUCUCGUAGUUCCUGUGAAAGUUCUAUCCAGCAAGAGGUCGAAAUCGGCCGGAGUCUACGUCCGAGUACAAAUUUAACGACGACGUGCAGGGUGUCCGACGAAGUGGCUGCGGUGAAAGGGGAAGACAUUUCUGGAGUUUUUUUUUUUAAAAAAAAGGUCCAAUAAACCAAAUUUCCAGUUUUUGCUUUUUGGGUGUUCUUGAAACCGUCUUGAGUCAGGGGUAAUAAAAAACAUCCAAAAAGCAAAAACUGAAAAUUUGGUUUACUAGACAUUAACAAAACUCCAGAUUUGAGUGCGUAGUGAGGAGUGCAAGUGUGCGUAGCGGGAAGUGCGCGAAGAACAGAAGGAAGGAGAGGAAUAAUAUUAAAGAAACAAAGAUUUGUAACACGCACACAGCUUUUUGAGGCUAUCCAGAUUUUUAAGCGAAGAUGGCGUUCGAAUGGUGAACGCCCGAAAUGUCAAAAUCACGAAGUGGUACCAACAUUACGAAACAAGUGUGACACGGCAUGACAGCCAUACUUUUUUUUCUAAUGUUGGUGCUACUGCGCGAUUUGAACAUUUCGGGCGUUCACCAUUCGAACGCCAUCUUCGCUUAAAAACCUGGAUACAAAAAAAAACUAUAAAGUGUAUUCUAUUUAAGAUUAAUUUCAUUGUUCGUAUAUAGAUUUUACAGUAUCAUUUUGUGAGGAUUAAAAAAUAAAUAAUAUGAAAAAACCAUAAAACCUUCUGUAGUUAUUAUUUAUUUCAUUGUCCGAAUAUAGUUUUUACAGUACCAUUUAGUAGGAAAAAACCAUGAAGAACUGUAGAUUGACCGUGCAAUCCAUUGUAAUGCUUGCUGUUUUUAUUAUUAAUGUAUGAUGUUUUCUAUAGUCAGGACGAGUUUUUGGAUGAAAAAUGCAACAUUAGAUUAACAGUAAAAUGCGUCGUAUUUGGAAAAAAAAUGUAUGGAAAAAUUUCGAAAUUUUUAUGGUACCGGUGCAUAACAACCCCCCUUUUUUAUGGUAAAAUCCCAAAAUACGACGCAAAUUAUCUUAAAAAACAAUGCUGUCUACUGUUAAAACACUGUCAAAAUGACAAUAUAUUUUAUCGUUUUGUAACGUUAAAAUUUACUGUAAGUUCAUCAGAAAUCUUUAUGCGGGUUGCCCGCAUAAAAUUAUAUGAUGAUUUGUAUUGUCAAAACCAUGCAGUUACAAUAGAUAUUAUAAUAUCUAUGGUUAGUUUAUGGUUGAUUUUUUUUUAACUUCAUUGGAAUGACGAUAAAGUUAUCAUAGAUUUCAUGGUUACAGCAAAUUUCAUGGUUUUGUUAUUGGAAAUGUUAUAAAUUGAAACAAUAAAACUACUGUACAUUUCAUGAAUACAGCACAUAUUAUGGUUUUGUUAUUGGAAAUCUCAUAACGCAUUUUUUUCCAAUUUUUUGUUACAGUAAGUUUCAUUGUAAUGUUAUAGUUGCAUAGUGUGAACUUUUU